AUUGAACGCUGGCGGCAUGCCUUACACAUGCAAGUCGAACGGCAGCACGGGUGCUUGCCCCUGGUGGCGAGUGGCGAACGGGUGAGUAAUACAUCGGAACAGGUCCUGAAGGGGGGGAUAGCCCGGCGAAAGCCGGAUUAAUACGGCAUACGAUCUACGGAUGAAAGAGGGGGACCUUCGGGCAUCGAGCUAUAGGGUUGGCCGAUGGCGGAGUAGCAAGUUGGUGGGGUAAAGGCCUACCAAGACGACGACGAGGAGCUGGUCUGAGAGGAGGACCAGCCACACUGAGACUGAGGCACGGUCCACACUCCUACGGCAGGCACCAGUCGGAAAUUUUGGCCAAUGGGAGCAGGCCUGAACCAGCAAUGCCGCGUGUGUGCAUGAGGCCGUCGCGUUGUGAAGGACAUUUGUCCGGAAGGAAAUCAAUGCCCCUACUACAGUCAGGAUAUGACCGUACCCGAAGGAUAAGCCCACGCUAACUUCCUG
Molecule: ribosomal RNA, 486 nt
Filed under: uncultured bacterium
Lineage: Bacteria
Description: partial 16S ribosomal RNA
Rfam family: Bacterial small subunit ribosomal RNA
Source: RNAcentral